This 119-nucleotide ribosomal RNA is filed under the name Pteropus alecto (black flying fox). Lineage: Eukaryota; Metazoa; Chordata; Mammalia; Chiroptera; Pteropodidae. The record is from RNAcentral.
UACUACAGCCAUGCCCCCCUGAACGCGCCCGAUCUCGUCUCAUCUCGGAAGCUAAGCAGGGUCGGGAUUGGUUAGUACUUGGAUGGGAGACCACCUGGGACUACUGGGUGCUGUAGGCG